UCAGUCACAUACUCAUCCCAUAUAAAAUGUAAAUUUAAAAGCUGUUUUAACCGCUGUUUUAAGAUGAAAAGGACAGUUGUGAAUUUUACUCUGAAGAAGUGACGUCAGUCGUUUGCGUCAUCACCUGAUGGGAUUGUCCAAUCACAGCCUCGUGAAUGCAGAGUCUGUCUGCCGCAGUCAUGAGAGUAUCGUGUUCCGUACGAGAGACUCUGUUUUCGGGAUAAAUAACUUGCUGAAGUCGACACAACAGUGGUUCCCUGGAGGAGAAGAUGAGUGCGUGGGAAAGCAAAGCCGCGGGCCCGGUGUGGAGGAGUCGAGGCGGAGAAGACAGGCGCACAGUCCCUGAAUUAAGGUGAGGUAACUGCUAAGCUAACUCUCAGAUUUGAAACACGUGUGAACCACUGUGGGAUUAGCACGACAGUUGCUAAAACUAGAAUAAAGCAUCGAGUGCUUUAGCGGAGCUAGUGCAUGUUUAAAUAGGUAUGAACUAAUUAAAUCGAACCGUUUGUUUUCGGUUAGUUUUUUCAUAAAUGUAACUUUUCUCGUUUUUUUUAUUUUUGUAGGAAGCUCUCUGUCUCUUCACAGCUCUGAUGAUGGCCGGCGGAGCGAGGGUGUGAAUAAAGAUGUGCUGUGCUGUUUAAAAUACAUCCUCCAGCUUUACUUUAUCUGAUCUUUUUCAUCAUUGUGUUUUCACAGCCUGAUUCCCGCACACAAUGACGCAGUCACUGCACAUUACGCCGAGACUCGCUGAAAGUCCACAUUUGCAGUGCGGGCUAACGACGCCAUUGUACAUAAGUAUCUGUUCAGGAUUUUUUUAGGAAUUUUGCUGUGGAUCUUCCAACGGUGAUGCAGCAAGUCUAUUUCCGUCUAUUACAGUUUUUCACAAUUGUUAACACACGUUUUUCAAAACAAUAACGGCUUUCUCAAAACUGCACACAGAAAACUGAAAACAUCACACACAAAAUGCUAAACCUGACACUCCCUUUGCAAGAUGACUCUUUGAUAUCAAAUCUCUUACCUGAUCACAAAAUGGAACUCGUGUUUUCAUUUGGUACACACAGCCAUUUUUUCAAAUGACACACACAUACCAUUCAUUGAGAACACACAACUAAGCAUUUGCUUGCACACUACCAAGCAUUUACAGCACACUGAAGUGCAAAACUGAAAACACAAUCAUCAAAAUGGAACACACCAUAUGAAUGACAGUGACUCUGGAGAAUGAGCCAUUUCUCUUUUUUUGUAAAAUGUCUCAGUUUAGGCCUACUUUUUUCAUAGUCAAACAUAAAACAGCACACACAUAUGCAGCAUAAAAAAGUUUAUUUCGGUACACAUAGAGAACAGUACAGUACUGUACACCGGCCUGCUCCCCCCCCUUCACAAAAACUACAGUUUUUCACAAUUGUUAGCACACGAUUUUCAAAACAAUAACGGCUUUCUCAAAACUGCACACAGAAAACUAAAAACCUCACACACAAAAUGCUGAAAGGCCUCGACACUCACGUCGCCACAAGCCUCCUCCAUGGCCUGGAGCAGUGGGACCCGGUCCUGUGGGUUCCGUUCGUAUACCUUCCACCUCCAAGCUGAAAAUAAUUCCUCAAUAGGAUUCAGGAAAGGAGAAUAAGGUGGAAGGUAUAGAACGGAAAAAUGUGGGUGGUCCUGGAACCACUCACGCACUUGAGCAGCCCGGUGGAAGCUCACGUGACCGAUCAGCUGUGGGUCAUCUAUCUGGCCAGGUGGUACCAGCAGGUCAUGCAGGCCAUCCAGGAAUACGAGGAGACGGGCAGCGUUAUAGGCCCCUAGGUGGGCAUGACGGUGCAAGAUCCCAUGGUGAUUCAUUGCAGCACACAGUGUGAUGUUCCCACCACGCUGGCCGGGGGCCUCAACAAUGGCCCGCUGGCCAAUGACGUUUCUGCCCCGUCGCCUCCUCUUCACCAGGUUGAAUCCCACCUCAUCAAUAAAGAUGUACUGGUACAACACAUUAGCUGUGUGAGGCUUUCUACCUCAAUAUUUUUUAUUUUAUUCUAUUGUAUUGUAUUUUAUUGUAUUCAAAUGUACCGGCUGCUAUGACGACUUAAUUUCCCUUCGGGGGUGAACAAAGUAAUCUAUCCAUCUAUCUCUUGGAUCCGCUGACAGAGACAGCAUAAGAAUGCAAGUUACAGUAUGGACACAGAGAGGUCAACACAGUGGGCUACAGUGAGACACUGUAGAAAAGGAACAAUAUUGGAUUACAGGUACAAUACAUGCAUGUGUCAGUGCUGAAUGUUGGUACUUAGAAGCACAAACUCUCGCUGUAACUCCUUCAUGCCUGUGUUUCGUUCAAAUGGGACCCUGAACACUUGUUUCAUCCACAGGGCAGUCCUAUGAAGAAUACGCUCCAAUGUAGAGAGGCUGACGGUCUGGACGUUUCUAAAUGUAGCAUGGUCAGCCAGGAUCCUAGUUUUUAUUUGUCUGAGUGUGAUAGAGUUGUUGUCACGAACCAUAUCUACAGUUUCAGUCUCCUGUUCGGCUGUGUAAAUGAGGUGAAAUUGCUCAACAGACCUGAAUGUUUAGAGAUUUAAGUAUUUGUGUGUUGUAGGUUGAUGCUAUGAGAUUUUACUUGAGAAGUGUGUGCAACAACUAAACAUUGUGUGUAGUGUUUUGACAACAAUGUGAUGUGUAAUUGACAUCAGAGUGUAAAGAAUGAAAGUCAGAGUAUAAUGCAGAUAAGGGAGUGUGAAGUAGUGCCAAAUUGGGUCGAGCGAUUGGUGCAUGAAGUGAAGGUUGUGCAAAUUGUACCGAAUUUUAGCUUUUUGUGUGUUAACAAUUGUGAAAAACUGUAAUAAUAAACUCAUGUUACUCAUGUUGUUUUCCAGCAGCCUGUACUAUGACUUACUAAGACCCACUAUGAGCCAGUAUGAAGGAGCUUCCAGUUCAUCCAUACGGACCUUGCAUCAGCAUUGAGGAGUUCAGGAGUCGGCAGAGAAGAAAGAGGCUGAUUGAAGCGGGACAGAUGACAUGGAUCCAUCCUUCCACAGCCAGGAGCUCACCGACCUGUGUGCCACACUUCAAAUAAUACUAGAAGCUACACUGGAUCUCACAGCUACACACGUCUACACACUUGGGCAGAUUCACACAAAGAACAUAUGACCCAGAGGCUGCAAAGAGACAUUUCAAGCUUCACCUGAUUAGCUUUUCACUGGCUAGGCCAGUUGUGUUUGUGCAAUAUUUGUGCUGUAAGUAAAUAAACCUUUGACUCAA
This is a long non-coding RNA of Pleuronectes platessa (European plaice), 3237 nucleotides long. RefSeq lists it as uncharacterized. The record is from RefSeq and is a predicted model, not a curated record. NCBI's taxonomy places the organism in Eukaryota, Metazoa, Chordata, Actinopteri, Pleuronectiformes, Pleuronectidae. The transcript is spliced from 2 exons.